CGAUGAGGAAGUUAAGUAGCUUACCCUGGGCCAGACAGCUAAGUGGCAGAAUCGGGAUUCAGAAUUACUCUGGAGUCCACAUGCCAGUUCGGAAAGGACUGGCAGCCACAUCUGAGUAGGUUUCCUUUACUGAUUUGAAGUCAAGGGCACAGAAAAGAUUACUCAACCCUUGGUACCCUGGUUCCAAGACAUCCAGGGACCUGGAGUCUCAGCUUCCGGUUAUCACUCUGCGUAUCCAAGAGUCAGGGUCACGUCUUACCUGCCCUCCUCCUUGGGCCAUGUCUGCGGAGCCCCCAAACAGCGGGCAAUAAUGGGAAAGCUGGCAUCAAGCAGCAGCCGUUCUCUUUACGGGACACAGAAAUGACCCCUUGUUAUCUUUGACUCCACGGCUGCUGUAAUAUUAUUCGGUUAGCCCUAGUUACAGACUGGAUUUUGUGGUGUGUGAGGAAAGCUACACGGCUUCUCAGCAUUAGCUCUUGACCUGGCAAAAGGAGAAGGAUUGUAUUGUGGACAACACCUUUUUUCUGACCCUAAACCGUGUUCUGGCACCAAGAGAAGCACUCUAGAAUCUGAGUUCUUUCUGUGAGCUGCUGCCUAAAUUCAGAGUCCUAGAGAAGACUAUUAAUGAUGGUACACAGAAGACAGAGAGAGAUAAACUGCAUCAGUUUCUUUAUGUGCAGGAGGACCUACAUGAUCUUAGAAGAGAACCGACCUUUUAAAACCUCAUUUCAACCUCAACGUAUGACCUCAGAGAAACUCAUUUGCUCUCUGGAAAGUUUUUAAGAUUUACAACAGAGGAAAAAAAAUCCUUCAGCUUGGGCAAGUUCUGAUGCAACAUAAAAGUAAUGCUGUUAAAAUUUCAAUCAUUGCCAUGGUUUAGCAGUGUGUUCACAUCAACCACAUGUACCCAGAAAGUCUGUCAACUCAGCAAUAACCAAGAAUUCUGCUUAUUACUCUCACUACAAAAAUCCAUGAAUUAAAUUAUAACUGUUUGCAUUUGAACGUGUGUAAUCACAUUUUUACAUUAUGCUCUUUUAAAAGAACCGUUUAUCUUGUGCUUGUUUCACAAACUUAAAAAUCAAGGAUUCUUUCUUUAUGGGCUGAUGGAAAUAUUCUAAAGUCAGACUGUGGUGAUAUUUCACAACUUUUUAAAUUUAUAAAAAUCAUCGAAUUGUACACUUAAAAUGAGGCAAUUUUGUGGGAUGCAAAUUAUGAAUCAAUAAAGCUGC
RNAcentral lists this long non-coding RNA (1229 nucleotides) under Equus asinus (donkey). Its description in RNAcentral is "lncRNA (ENSEASG00005027760.1)". Lineage: Eukaryota; Metazoa; Chordata; Mammalia; Perissodactyla; Equidae. The record is from RNAcentral.